UUAUAGAUGUCUGUUACUUUAAGGCCCUUCAAGGUGACAGCUUUAAUUUUAAAACACUCUAUCUUACUUAUCUGGCUUGUUUUUACCAGCAUUAUGAGUAAGAAUGAGAGCACACCUCCCCUAGACCCUCUUGAGAUGUUCCCCAGAGCCAGCACGUGAACUGUUGUUCGCAGCCUCCUUCCUCCCUUUAGGAAGCCUCUGCUCUGAUGACAUGGGCGACUGGCUUCCUCUGUGUGGCAGCAGAGCUCUUUUGUUAGGCAAAACCGAGAGGUCCCCCAGCCCUGUUCCUGUCCCUGAGUUAGCUUGCUAUUUUUGGAAAUGGGGAAUCAGGUGGGGCUUCUGCCUUCUCUCCUCUUUUCCCCCCACGGGUUAUGUCACACUGAACAACUGCACGUCCUGUGUGUUAUGCCCAGUGUCACCUCCAUGUGUUAUAACGCCAUAGGUCAGUGGGGUGUCAUAAAGAAACACAGCAGACUUGCGGAAGCCCAGCCUUGAGUCUGCUUCUGUCAUUUACUGACCAUGUCCCUUGGACAAGUUAUUUAGUCUCCCGGAGUCUGUUUGCUCAUCUCUAAAGAGAGGGUGAUGACAGUACCUUUUUCCCAGGGUUACAGAGGGAUUGAAUGAGAUGAUGGAUGGCCCAGUGCCUGGAGGACAGUAGCACUUUGUCCUUAAUAGGGAUUUUAGCAAUAAAGCCAGCAUGAAAUUUAUUUUUCAUGCCCUUAGAUUUGAAAAUUUAUGACUUAGAAUGUGUGUACUUCUUAGGUUAACCUGCCCUUCGUCACCUCAUGAAAAGUAAGACAGACUUAGGUGGCUGACUUUGGAGGGUUUUUUUUGUUAUAUUUGCUUUCAUUAUAGAUCAGCAACCGUUGGAAGCUGGCCCAGGUACAAGUACAAAAAGACUCUAAAGAAGCUGUCAAGAAGAAGGCAGCUGAGCAAACAGGUAACACUCACUUCCUUGCAACUCAGUCGGCUGUUAAAGGAUGGCUGUUGCACACCCGCUGUUUCAGCCAAGUGCCAGAUACGGCGAUGAAUGAAGCCCCUGUGGGGCUUCCCUUCUGCUGAGGGAUGGUGGGCAAUCAGUAUCUAUCCUGGCAGAUGGCAGCAGGUGCUGUGCAGAGAGAUUGGUGGGGAGUGCUGGAGGUGCUGUAGCUGUCUCGUUGGUGGUUGGAGAAGGCAGUCUAAUGAAUGCGACAUUGACGAGACCUGCAGUGACCUAGAGAAGAGUUCUGGAGCCACAGCACAGCGAGCCCAGAGGCCCUGGGGCUAGUUCACUGGGCAUGCUGAGCAGCAGCAAGUGGGCCUGCAUGAGCAGAGCGGGUAGAGAAGAGCAGGAGAUGGGGAAGGAGCCAGCAGAGGCCCACGGGAUGACGCUGCCUUUUACUCUGAGUUCAGAAGCCAGGAGGGUGCUGAGCAGACACGGGGGGGGGAAGUGACUGACAUGUGGCACUCUGGCUGCUGUGUCAACAGUAGACUAUAGAGGACAGGAUGGGAGUCCAGGAAGGGAUAGGAGACAUGGCAGUGGCUCAGGCGAGAGGGGAUGGUGGCUUUGAGACCAGCGUGGGAGCAGAGGAGGUGGUGAGCUGUCAGAGCCUUGAUCUGUCCCAUAGCAAAGCUGACAGCAUUUGAUGAUGAGGUGGAUGUGGCAUGUGAGAGAAGGGAAGGGAACCUUGGAUGAAGGUUUUGUCCUGAGCAGCUGGAAAGCUGGAGUUGCUGGCAGCCAAAGUAGCUGGUUUGAGCAGGUUUGUCCACGAUGGUGAUGGUGACGAUCCUGUUAAACGCCCUCAGGUCCACAGGCCACUGAGCAUUUAGGUUCACAGAAGAGGAGCAGGCAGGGCUGGGGAGGAUCAGCUCACGUGUAGGUGAAGGUGGGCAGAGCACCUGAGCCUGAGCUCUGAGGCAGCCUGUCCUGCAGAGAUGGGGGACCGGGGACCUGAGAGGGAGGAGGAAUCAGCCGUGACAACCCCUGUGGCUAGGCCAAGUCGGAGGGGGAUGGAGAUGGAGGGGAGGGUGGUUGCUGGAUUCACCAACUCCAGAGACAAGUUCUCUCCCUUGCAGCUGCCCGGGAACAGGCAAAGGAGGCGUGCAAAGCUGCAGCAGAACAGGCCGUCUCCGUCCGACAGCAGGUCGUGCUAGAAAAUGCUGCAAAGAAGAGAGAGCGAGCAACAAGCGACCCAAGGACCACAGAACAGAAACAAGAGAAGAAACGACUCAAAAUUUCCAAGAAGCCAAAGGACCCAGAGCCACCAGAAAAAGAGUUUACGCCUUACGACUACAGCCAGUCAGACUUCAAGGCUUUUGCUGGAAACAGCAAAUCCAAAGUUUCUUCUCAGUUUGAUCCAAAUAAACAGACCCCGUCUGGCAAG
RNAcentral lists this small RNA (2363 nucleotides) under Pan troglodytes (chimpanzee). RNAcentral describes it as "retained intron". The record is from RNAcentral. Lineage: Eukaryota; Metazoa; Chordata; Mammalia; Primates; Hominidae.